GGGCUGGUCUCAGUGUUGCCUCGGGCUUUGAAUCUCUCCAUCAGUAUUGGGAGAAUUUAAUGAGGACCUGAACAGUUGUGUGUGUGUGUGUGUGUGUGUGUGUGUGUGUGUGUGUGUGUGUGUGUGUGUAGUUCUUCGGUGGAUCAAUUGGCUUUUUUGCUACAAAAAAGGGUGAGAUAAAUUGCCCCAAAGUUAUAAAAAGCAAAUGGUGUAAAGACAUAAACAUAUGCCAAGCAUAUGAAUGGAAAAUUGAAAACAUCAGGGCUUUCCAGUGACCCACAUGCUCCCGACCUGUAAUGUUUCCCUGUCUGACUUCCCUCAUUUUUUUCCCUUUCCCCAAGCAAACACAUGUGUGCCCUGCAGAACUGGGCUUUAUCAAGAAAGGAUUUCUCGGCUUGUUUAUUGUCAUUACAUCAUAAGCGUAAUAAGGUUCCAUUGGAAUGAUCAGUUGACAUGGCCAUUGGUGUGAGUGGGGAAAGCUUGCCUGCCUUGGGCAGGACUGUCAAGUAGCUGAGCUGUUUUUGGCCUUCUGCUCCCUUCUAUGUCUUUCUUGUCUCAUUCCUCAGCCCUCUGACCCUCACAGGAGACCAGAGACUAUGUGUUGCUAUUGGUUGCCCGAGUGGUUCCUGCAAUGUGGGCUCAUCUAGACUUGUCCCAAUCAGUAUUGACUGAUUUGAUCUCCUUGAUGUCCAAGGGGUCUCAGAAGUCUUCUCCAGCAAAACAAUUUGAAAGCAUUGUUUCUGUUCCACUGAACUUUCCUGAUAGUACCACUUUCACAGCCAGAGAUUACUACUGGAAAAACCAUAGCUUGGACAAUAGAGACUUUUGUUAGCAAGGUAAUCUCUCUCUUUCUUUUUAGUAUGCUGUCAAAAUUUGCUGUAGUUUUCCUUCCAAGGAGCAGCGUCUUUUAAUUUCAUGGCUGCAGUCACUGUCUACAGUGAUCUUUGAGCCCAAGGCACUGGAGAUACAGAACUGAAACAGUCCAUAUUCUAAGCUUACAUUCCAGCAAGGGAAACAUUCAAAAGAAAUAUAACUCCAGGGACUUUGGACAGGAGUAAUAAUAACUCAUAUUUUGUACAUCACUUAAGUGUAUGCAAAAUGCUUUUCUUGCACCCAGCCUAUGAGGCAGAAAGUAUGUUUUAUCCCCAUUUUGCAUAUGAGGAAACUGAGAUUGGUUUGAGAGAGCUUACGUGACUUACAAUGUGCUAGGUAUCUGGAAGUGAGAUCAAAAGGAACUUCUGGUGCUUACUACAGCCUCUCUGAGACAUGACUUCUUCAUUUGUAAACUGAUUAAUGUACUUGGCAGCCUUAAAUCUAG
Molecule: long non-coding RNA, 1318 nt
Filed under: Monodelphis domestica (gray short-tailed opossum)
Lineage: Eukaryota; Metazoa; Chordata; Mammalia; Didelphimorphia; Didelphidae
Description: lncRNA (ENSMODG00000042601.1)
Source: RNAcentral